This is a non-coding RNA of Oncorhynchus mykiss (rainbow trout), 1177 nucleotides long. The record is from RefSeq and is a predicted model, not a curated record. NCBI's taxonomy places the organism in Eukaryota, Metazoa, Chordata, Actinopteri, Salmoniformes, Salmonidae.
UUUGUCAGGAAGAGAGAGCUUCUUUGCUGUCUUGUGUUGGUUGUUGCCCAGUGACAGUUCUGUUGACACUAUUUGGUAGCCGCUACUUCUAAGGUAAGACCUGGAUGGACUACCCCCUGUAUUUUGGUUGGUGCGCCAGGAGGUUCUGAAAGGUUAGGGCAAACCCGGACGACGCUGGGCCAAUUGUGCGCCUCCUUAUGUGACUCCCUAUCACUGCCGGUUGUGAUACAGCCUUGAAUCGAACCAGGGUGCCGCCUCAAGCUCUGAGAUGCAGUGCCUUAGACCCUCAAGCGCUGAGAUGCAGUGCCUUAGACCGCUGCACCACUCGGCAGCCCCUCAUGCAAGGGUUUGUCCAUUAUUAGCCUAUGACCUAAACAAAACAUUAUAUCAAAUGUUUGCUUGCAUAUAAUUGAAGGUCAAUAUUCCUGCCUUAAUGUUCAGGAGUACAUGUCAAGGAACACCACAGGGACAUUUUAAUAGAUAUAGUCUGGUGGCUUCAGUAUAAAAUACUUGAUGAAAUUCCUAGACUAAAGGGUAAAUAAAAACACAUUCAUGUUGUACAAUCAAUUAUAUAUGGAUGUGUUUGUCCUAGACUAAAGAGUAGAUAAAAACACAUUCAUGUUGUACAAUCAAUUAUAUAUGGAUGUGUUUGUCCUAGACUAAAGAGUAGAUAAAAACACAUUCAUGUUGUACAAUCAAUUAUAUAUGGAUGUGUUUGUCCUAGACUAAAGAGUAGAUAAAAACACAUUCAUGUUGUACAAUCAAUUAUAUAUGGAUGUGUUUGUCCAAGACAGUUUCCAGUAAUCACUUCCAGUAAGCUGAGAUUGCCAGAGGCAAGAAGUAAAACAAAAAAAGCAUGACCAACUGAGACAUUACUUACACUGUCCUGAGACCCUGGAGAAGAUCUACUCUAGUAGCUACAGGUGCAUGAUAAGAGACAACUGGUUUACAACAACAAUCAAUGACAAGUGAUACUGACCUGAGAAAUAGUUUGUCAGCUUUAAUGUGCAUUUGUUAGGUUAACAUCUGUAAAUCUUAUUCUGUUGUACUGUAGCCUUGUAAAGACUCAUGGAGACAACGUGUCGUCUCUUUUCCACAACUUUAUUGUCUUGAUAAGGUCAAUCACAAUCAUAAGUUGUUCACUUAUAUUACACCUUGAGGUAAUGAAUCACACAGC